This is a non-coding RNA of Homo sapiens (human), 148 nucleotides long. It matches the Rfam family "Metazoan signal recognition particle RNA". Rfam says of the family: The signal recognition particle (SRP) is a universally conserved ribonucleoprotein. The record is from Rfam. NCBI's taxonomy places the organism in Eukaryota, Metazoa, Chordata, Mammalia, Primates, Hominidae.
GCCGGGCAUGGUGGUGCAUGCCUGUAGUCCCAGCUACUGGGGAGGCUGAGGCAGGAGAAUCACUUGAACCCGGGAGGCAGAGGUUGCAGUGGGCUGAGAUCAGGCCACUGCAUUCCAGCCUGGGCAACAGAGCGAGACCCCGUCUCAA